AGGAAUAUUGGUCAAUGGACGCAAGUCUGAACCAGCCAUGCCGCGUGAAGGAUGAAGGUCCUCUGGAUUGUAAACUUCUUUUAUCUGGGACGAAAACGGGAUUUUUAUCUCAAUUGACGGUACCAGAGGAAUAAGCACCGGCUAACUCCGUGCCAGCAGCCGCGGUAAUACGGAGGGUGCGAGCGUUAUCCGGAUUUACUGGGUUUAAAGGGUGCGUAGGUGGGCUUAUAAGUCAGUGGUGAAAUCUCCGAGCUUAACUUGGAAACUGCCGUUGAUACUAUUUGUCUUGAAUAUUGCGGAGGUGAGCGGAAUAUGUCAUGUAGCGGUGAAAUGCUUAGAUAUGACAUAGAACACCAAUUGCGAAGGCAGCUUACUACACAAUCAUUGACACUGAGGCACGAAAGCGUGGGUAGCGAACA
Molecule: ribosomal RNA, 419 nt
Filed under: uncultured bacterium
Lineage: Bacteria
Description: bacterial SSU rRNA
Rfam family: Bacterial small subunit ribosomal RNA
Source: RNAcentral